This 257-nucleotide ribosomal RNA is filed under the name uncultured Leptotrichia sp. RNAcentral describes it as "partial 16S ribosomal RNA". It matches the Rfam family "Bacterial small subunit ribosomal RNA", at positions 96 to 354 of the family's 1533-position model. The record is from RNAcentral. Lineage: Bacteria; Fusobacteriati; Fusobacteriota; Fusobacteriia; Fusobacteriales; Leptotrichiaceae.
UGGCGGACGGGUGAGUAACGCGUAAAGAACUUGCCCUUUAGACUGGGAUAACAGAGGGAAACUUCUGAUAAUACUGGAUAAGUUAGUAUAUCGCAUGAUAUGCAAAUGAAAGCUACGGCACUAAAGGAGAGCUUUGCGUCCUAUUAGCUAGUUGGUAAGGUAAGAGCUUACCAAGGCGAUGAUAGGUAGCCGGCCUGAGAGGGUGGACGGCCACAAGGGGACUGAGAUACGGCCCUUACUCCUACGGGAGGCAGCAG